GAGCGAGCGUUAUCGCGAGAUUGCGCUAAGUUGCCUCGCCACGUGUGGACACACGCAUGCACGCACACGACGCACAAAGUAGGCUUUAGUAUCCAUAUUCGGCCGCAUGCUCAGACCGAGAAGAGAUCGGUGUGUUCUUUCCGUUUCGGAUGCUGCACUGCGCACGUUGCAGACCGUCGUGCAAGCAUCAGAACGCCUCAUAUUCAGCUAGCUUGCUGAUGCCGUCACGAAGACGGAAGUGAAUGAGGUGCAGACGCCGGGGUAACCCCCGAUUCAGACUCCUACAGACACAGAGCCGACCACACCUGUCGUGCCUUCGCCACUGUUAACGACGUACAUACUGACAAUCGCCUCCGCACCUCGCGCGUUCGGCCCACCGUCGCUCUAGUACCGAAGCAACAUCAGCCAGCGCCGACGGCAGAGGACGCCGACUGGCCUCCACUCUUCUCGGGAAGGGUUGUUGCCAAAAAAAAAAAAAAACAGAGGCGCCGGACGCAUUGACGCGCCGAACUUCCUUGCUCUCCUGCAGUAGAAACCACGGACGGGACCGUCAGCACCCGGUCCGGCGAUGCUUCUGCUGCGCAUCAAGACAGCGCCAUGUCGCAAUCGCUGCCGUCGCUGCCUGUCGCUGUGGCCGCAAGGGCCGACUCCCGCGCGUUUAUCGACACUACUACCGGAUGGGGUGAGUUCACAUGGACGCCUUCGGAGACACGUACGAGGGUAGCGAAGCUGUGCUGUUUUGGCGGAGUCACGCACUCCUACGGCCCCGAGCGGGCCGAGGUUCUCCGGUAGUCCGGCGGCAGAGCGGGCUCCCGCAUCUCUGGCUGCUGCUGCUGCCAUGCCACUGGGCUUGCCAAGCGAGUCGGAAACCUCCUUAUGUUGCCUCACUGCCAGGGCAGGCCCGCAGUGCGAGGACGCAUGCGCACGCUCCUCCACCAGUGCCUCUUGAACGCAGCAAAGUGGCGCCGAGCAUGGGAAGGCCGAACGCCUGUGCAUAGGCGGUGCCCACUACAUCCCAUUUUCCACAAGCCCCCCGCCCCUACACGCACAGAACGUUUUACGGCAGCUCUCCCCAUUCCUGAAGCACCUUUGUUGGAAGAGUACAGCGAGGAAGCGCUCAUGCAGCGUCAGGGACACGAGGCGCGGCACAGCCAGCGUGCUCUGCUGCGGGAUGCGUCCAAUGCACGAGCGCGCCAGCGGGAGCACUUGAUGUUCAUCCAUUAACUUCAAGGUUCCAUUCAUGCCGAUGCACAGAAGAAGUCGACAAAGGCUGGCGUCCUCUUUCGUGAGGUGCCAGCGGCUACACAACUUGAGGAAAACAUGACAAACGGCUCUGUGAGCCCGCUGACACGCAAAGACGGAUCUCGAGAAUCGCCUGCGUGAGUUCACGGGAGAGGUGAAGGCCAACUAGGAGCUCCGUUGAGAUGCGCGACAACGCCUCGGCAUGUGCAGGGACUGCAUCGCACCACCCACAGCUGCCGAAGCCACGGCCGUCACAAAAUCUGAAGAUGGCGCACCAGGGCCCCAGCGCACUGAAGAGUUUACAGCAAGAAAUGGUCCUGUCCCAGGUGUGCGUGGUGCUCCUUGGCGGGCGCGUGCGCACCCUUCAAUGUCCCUAGCAGCACAUCCGUAAGGAGCUCGUUAACACCGAGGCAGAGGAUGUGAUGGUAUGCGGCGACCGUCAAGCAGCUGUACAGGGCGGCGACGGCGGCUUUCCGAGACGACGCGGAUUGCGUGUUGGAGAACGUGCAGCGGCCAAGGGAGAGCCAGCGAACAGACGAGCUUGCGGAUGCUGUGCACGGCUUAUGGGACGCAUUGCAGAAGGAUCGGGAUCGCGCUCGUCGGCUGGACGAUGCCGUGCCCGCGACGCAGGCACCCCAAACAGGCUCACUGGCGGCCUCGGCUAGCAACAGGGCCCUUGAAAGCGUGCUGCGGCCGUCCGAUCACCUAGGCCGCUGCGUUGCCUGCAGUGCCUCCAGAUGAGCCCGCCGCAUCAGAGGUGGAAGAUCACUUGAAGGACCUCCACGAGCAAAUCGAAGACGCUAUCGCGGAGAAGGGGUUUGAGGCACGCGAGUUUAUUCAGAACGAGAUCAGCGCAGCUGUGUUUUAGCUGACCCGCUCUACGCAAGGCUCAGGUGUGUAGAUGCGGCAGCGGUGGCGGACUGUGGUGCUGGGCGCCGCCGCAUCGGUUCACGGUGGGACUGGAGGACAACUAUGAUGGAGGCUGGCCAAAACGUACUGUGCGGUGUAGCGGGCAUUGCCUGUGCGUUUUGGCUACCUCUUGUUUGCGUGCGCGUGUGCUGGGGGUGCCCGUGGCCCCUGCCUUGUUCACUACGCCCACAACGAUACGUGCAAGGUCGAGAUGCACUACAGACACUUUUUCUCUCGGGUACACGAACAGCGAGCACCGUGAUGUAGCGAACUCAUCCUCUCUUCUCUGCGCAGCAGGUCAAAGGCGAAUUGGAGUGGGGAGGCCAGCGGGGUGUGCCGCCCCGCAGCACCUUCGCUUGAUGAGCGGGCGGCGGUGCGAAGGCGCUGAGGGGCGUCUCGCUUAACUCUUGAGGAUGAGGGCUUGCUUGGGCGUCUGUACUUCUCUUUCUUGCGGCUACGCCGAUGCGACAUCUGAGUGUGCGGUGCAGAACGAUGCUGUGUUGAAGGGAGAAAGACAGCUGCUGCGGCGGUGGAUCACCCGCAUGUACCCCUCACGGGUUCUUUUCCCUUUGUCCUCUCUCUGUGUGAUGCCCGCGCCACCUUGCGUGGCUCCGGUGCCUCUCGCGCUAUUUCCUUGUGUAUGCUCGGCGGCGCAUGCGUCGCCACGACUGCGUGUCGCUCUUUAGCUCUCCGUCUGGCUAUGGCGACGCAUGCGCGCGUCAUUGUCGCCAUUCGCCUCCCUUUCCAACACACGGCAACGACUCGCGAGGAGGGGCGGAUGGGGCGGAGCACACAGAACUCCACAAACGCGUAUACACACCAACAUUACUCCUAACGUACAGAACUACGUACGCGACGUCUGCUCACAUGACGCUUCCCUACGGAUGUUCGACACACGCAUACGCAC
This 3058-nucleotide unclassified non-coding RNA is filed under the name Leishmania donovani. RNAcentral's name for it is "gene:unknown". The record is from RNAcentral. Lineage: Eukaryota; Euglenozoa; Kinetoplastea; Trypanosomatida; Trypanosomatidae.